UGUCAUUUAAAAAACACAUAAUGUCAAUACGACGUAUUUUGAUGAAAUUGAGGCUUAGUAUAAAAGAAAAAAGAAAAAAAUGGCAUCCCUUGAAAACACAAAGAGCAUACUAAGGGCACGAAACUCGAAAGGAGAUCGUAAAACUAAAGAAAACUAACAAAAAGCAUCUAAUCAAUCCCUAAUCUCAGGAUAAUCAUCCAUUUCCGACCAACGACCAUGAACAAUAUUAUUCAUUGCACGUAUACUAGGCUUAUUGCUAAGGUCAAUCAUAAAAUCCCUCGNAUAAAUAUAAUUAUUAUAUUUAUUAUUUAAAAUGAAAUAAUUUAUUUUCAAAAGAAAAUAAUCAAUAUUUUGAAUAUAUAUAAAAAUUUAAAAAAUUUGCAUAGAUUUGAUUGAGUUUUUGAGACUCAAAGUAUUCGAUAAAUAAAGUAAGGAAUUCGACUCGAUACUAAACAAAGUUCGUCGCAUUAAGAAUUUAAAAAUCUUUUUAGUAUGGGAAAAUCACACUUUAACAAAACAACUUCAUGAAUGAAAUUGAGGUUUAAUAUUAAAGAAAAAGAAAAAUAGGAACCCUUGAAAGCACAAAAAAGCAGACUAAGGGCACGAAACUCUAAAAGAGAUCAUAAAACAAAUGAAAACAAACAAAGACAUCAACUCAAUACCUAAACUCAGGAUAAUCAUCCAUUUCCGACCAACGACCAUGAACAAUAUUAUUCAUUGCACGUAAACUAGGCUUAUUGCUAAGGUCAAUCAUAAAAUC
RNAcentral lists this long non-coding RNA (760 nucleotides) under Salvia miltiorrhiza (redroot sage). Its description in RNAcentral is "long non-coding RNA (SMIL_LNC007911)". The record is from RNAcentral. Lineage: Eukaryota; Viridiplantae; Streptophyta; Magnoliopsida; Lamiales; Lamiaceae.